Molecule: long non-coding RNA, 1218 nt
Organism: Medicago truncatula (barrel medic)
Lineage: Eukaryota; Viridiplantae; Streptophyta; Magnoliopsida; Fabales; Fabaceae
Exons: 2
Source: RefSeq, a predicted model, not a curated record
UCAACAAAAACAUUUAGAGCUUGUUGAGAGAGAGAAAAUAUAGAGUAAGGUUUCUCCUAGUGUUGAGAUUGAGAGAAAAUAUAGAGAGGAAACAUAUGUUUUCUAUCUUGUGCACAAAUAAAUAUAGAGAGCAAAAUGGGUUAAACUCCAACAAAAAAAAAAAAAAACACCUAGAAGCCUCUAGGGAAAGAAAUACAACUAUCGGUCACCAAAGCUACAAAAAUAAAGCUUCCCAAUCUUGGGACGAUGAAUUUGCCUCAGAUCCUAUUCAAAUUCAAACACUUCUGGUGUGUAGAUGAACUUGUCUCGGAAUGGGGAGCAGGUGGAGGAGACACGAAAACUGGUUAGGGGGCAGAUGAAACUUAGGUUGCUUGAUGCAGCUCAGGUGGUGGUUACCUUGAUGGGCCGCCAUAUGAAGGAACUACGUCUUGGCCACCUCCAACACCAAUAUGGUGCAGGUGCUGGCGGUGGCCAUGUUGUAGUUUCUUCAUAUGGUGGCAGACUGAUGUAACCAGCACCGAGCUGCAUCAAGCAACCUCAGUUCCAUCUACAUCCUAUCAAGUUUUCGUGUCUCCUUCACCUCUCCCCAAUCUGAGGCAAGUUCAUUUUCCCAACUACCAGAGGUGUCUGAAGUUGAACAAGAUCUAGGACAAAUGACAUUUCAUUCUUAAGAGACGCAUGCCUCUUCUCCACAAAGUAAAUCAUCACUUUGGGUUUCUUCUUCUCCUUGGAAAGGGGAGCUAUGGCAAGAAGUGUGUUGUUAUGGCAAACCAAUUUUUUCUUUCUGAGUUACCUUUGAAAAACCCUCCAUCAGUAUGAUGUAACAAUUACUCCAGAAGAGACGUCUAGAGGUGUGAAUUGUGUUGUUAUGGAACAACUUCUGAGGCUGUAUCAUGAUUCAUACUUGGGAAAGAGACUUCCCUAUUAUGAUGGCCAUAAGUGUCUGUAUACUACAUGCCCGUCCCCUCCAAAUUGAUGGGGCAAAUCACUGAAGCCUCUAAACCUAACCCUUUUAAAAUAAUUGUAAAACAAUAUUUCCCCAAAUUUAGAGAAUUUGUAAUGAUGUAUGUCACACAAAUAAAGGGAAGGAAUUGGGCUUUAGCACCAUUUUUUUCUUGUUGGUAUUUUGUGAGCUUGUGCAUCUUUAUGUAUCAGUGUAAGACAUUUAUUUUUGCUCUUUUAUUUUAAGAGCUGCUAAUAUAGCACAUCUUUAGCAUA